CCAAUCACUGCUCAGUGCUGUCUGAGUCCAGCGCUCUCUUUUUAAAUCCCCCUCUCUGUGGUGAAUCUGCACUCGCAGCGCAGCCCUCCGGUGAUACAGCAAGUGGUAGAGAAGUCUGCUGAAACAGCCUACACAUUUUCCGGCUGUGAGUGGGGCCUUCAUGGAUUCCCCGUACAAUGGCAACACGUCCCUCCAGACCUCCACCUCCAACCUCAACGCCAACUUCUCCCGGCCGACCGAGGCGGAAGAGGAGGGCAAGUACUCCAGCGAUGCCAUCUGGCUUUGGGUGGCCGUCAUUGCAACCAUCGGCAACAUAGUAGUGGUAGCAGUGGUUUGCGCCUGUGCCUUCUAAGACCCGUUAGUUGCAAGCACACAGCCGAAACAUCCCCCUUGCCCCGUCUUUCCUCCACUUGAACCUAUCCCCUGUAUUCAUUUUACUUUUGUAAGUGUCCAUCCAUAAUAUUAAAGCCAAGGCCCCAUUCUGAGGAUCAACGGAAUAUGAUAGUGUAAAUAUAGGGACUGGCUUAACUGAUGUUCUCUAGGACUAGGAAUGAGAGAAACAGUCCUCCAUAGUUACCAUACUGUAUCUUACCUUAAGCCUAUGUCUCACACUGUUAAAAAAAUGUAAUGAUGAGAAACGGUGAAGUGAGCAGAUGUGGGCUGUGCCUUUUUAUAAUGAACAUGGUAAAUUAGUUCAGGAAGUGGGCAAUAUAUAAAGCAGCUGAGUGAGCCUCCCUUCUGCUUACCCCCAGAGGUCAGCCUAAAGGAUUAUGGAAGUGUACAGCUAUGAGAUCCCCUCUGCCUGUGAACCUGAACAGAACACCACACCAUAUAUCUUUGUCUUGUUGAUGUCAUGUGACUGUUUGUCUGGAAUGGAUGUGUUGAUGCUGCUGUCUUGGUCCAGUUCUCUCUUGAAAAAUGUUUUUUUUUUUUAUCUCCACGAGCCUAACCUGGUUAAAUAAGGGUGAAAUAAAUAAUCUGCAGUUCUCGUUGUGGCUGGCCAUCGUCUCGGAGACCAGUGGAGAGAUAUGUGACAGAUGGUGGCUGGUAGUGGGGCAGAGGGGACAGCGGAGGGGCCCAGGGCAGGCUUGGCAGUGCCCCCAGUACCUGGUGUUCUUUCAUGUGACUGCUGCACCGCUGCACUACCAUUACUGCUCUGUCCUGUCCUCAUCAGCCUGUCAGUGAUAGAAAUCUCCCCAAGCACUUUAUAAAGUGCAAUAAAGUGGGGAGUUUUCUUCCAUUUUAACUGCAUUGUUCUGCAGUGGCUGUAGACCUGUGCCAGUUUUAACUAUGCAGUGAAGGCAUCCUAUUGGGCACACACUGGUUGAAUCAAUGUUGUUUCCACGUCAUUUCAAUGAAACGACGUUGAACCAACAUGGAAUAGAUGUCGAAUUGCCGUCAGUGGGAUGGCAGUGGCUCAUGUUUAUGAGUGAGACAAAUGUAUAGAAACACAGUAUAACCCACAAGCCAAAUUAGUGAAUUAAGUUGUCAGCACUGACAUUAUCUGAAGUUACGGAACCACCAAUUACAUCGCACUAAAUCAUUGAGCCGCCCACCAUUACCAGACCACUGCUACAACAGCCUCAAUCUGUAGAGCUAGCAGUCAAAUGAGUUCUCUCGUCAUAAGAAACCCCAUUGCUGUUAACGCUCAUUUUUUAGUUGCUGUGCCAGGCAGUCAGAAUCUCAUAUUCGCCUCAGAAUGUCUCUCAGUAGACUAGUGUGUGUAGGUGGCAGCAGCCCCAGUAGUUCUGUGCUGUGCUGUCUCCCAUGCACCCAGUGGAGUCGGGCCACAGACUUGUCAAACAGCAGGGCUUUAAUGAGAUGUAAUGCCUCUCUCUCUCUCUUUCCUAAAGCGAACACUGACCUCCCGUUGCGCUGUGGUGAUCAGAACAGAGCUGAUCCCUGCUGCACUCAGCUGCUCUGAACAAAGAUAGUGCUUCAAGUGCAUUUUUAGAGUGUGACUUCCUCAUUUAAUCAGCACUCGUUGACAGAGAGAAAGGGGAAGGAGAGAGGAGCGGACGAGAGGAGUGGCUGCAUGGGAAUUAAUUUAACAGCCAACUUCCAUGUCAUCUCUUUGAAAUACAAAACUUUUUUUGAAGUUGAAUGGAGAAUUCCAUUAUUUUUAUUGAAACCAACGAAGUGGAAUAAAAAGUUUGAAAAUGGAGAGAUUUAGGAUCAAAGGCCUGGCUGAGCCAUCACUUCACACAGCUAAUUGCCCUGAUCUCACUGAACAGUAGAGUUAAUGAAAACAAGAGACCGAUUCAUCAUGGCAUCUCUGAGCGGUCCUUUUCAGGGUCCUUAGAGACCUUAGCCAGAAACAUGCGGGAACAUUAAUCUGUUGUCUGUUAAAAUAAACAACAACAAUCGCACUGAAUGGGGUCUUCAUAAGUAACUGCUGUCAAUAACUCAAGAUGACGCUAACAAGUUAGAAUUACACAUCCCCACUAUAUGUAGUUACUUUAAUACUGUAACUAUUCUGAAGCCAAAUUCAUAUGGACUAGGUGAGGAAUCCCAGUUAGCUAUAAUAGGAAUUUCUUCUACCCUUGUGUCGGCUGUGUGCUUUGACAUGGGACUGGUUAAGGCUCAGGUGCCCACUGUCUACGGCUCGAAUUAUGUGCCUGAACUGACUAACACAACUCCUACCCGUCAACUGCUUAUUGACCAUGGACGCCCCUUGACCACCAUGGAUGAUGGUCCUCCUACACACCACAAAAGGUCAUCACAGCCUCAAGUCCAGGUACCGUGUGAACCAGUUUGCAAUGUCACUUAGGCGCGCGGUUCACCCGACACAGGUUAAUAAGGCUAAUCCUGGACAAAAAUAAAUCAAUUAUAUGGAGAUUCUCUAUUGAGCGUGCUGUGUUAUUCCAGGACUAGGCUUAAUCUGUGUCCGAGAAACUACCCCUUACUGUUUAAGAUUUGUUUUUAAUUACCGCCUCCAUGUAAAAAAGUGAAUUGUUACGCUAUACAUUAUGCAUCUGCCUGUUAAAGGGAAUAGUUUUUUUUUAGUAUUGGGUAACUUGGAGUGAUGCUUCAUUCAUAAUCAUAUUUGUUUAAUGUACCGUGUUUCUUUAUUUCUAUAGGUCAACAUUACUUCAGUCUUACUAAGUCUACACUACAUAUUGAGUUGAAACAUUCCAUUUAAGCAUGUCAUUUCCUUAUUUGUUCUAAUGGACGAGUCUCUUCACUGUGUUAACUAGCGUAUGGUAUGAUAAAUGUCGCAUUUAUAUAGAAGUACUACUAUGGCAAUACUCAUGGAGACCCUGCCAGUUACAGCUGUUUAUUGGGGGAGACGUGGCCAUGGAGUGCUCCCUCCACCAACAGAUGCAUUUCACCACGUUUGACUUCCUCCCUCCCUAGGCCCAGAGGGGACUGAAGUCUGCUUAAUCACACCCCAUAGAGCAUUCCAUCCUCCUUCUCCUUUCCCCUAUGUUCUCUCUCCUUCCAUCCAUGCAGAGCACCAGACCGUGCUUUCUGCAUUGGCACUGGCCUCUGACCCGAGGCAGGGCACCUCAUGCCCACAUGCCUCUUCCUUCCCAGGCAACAAGAAAUAGUCCGGUCGUUGCUGGGUGAAAUGGACAAGUCACUCCUACGAGAGGAGAACUGUAAGAGCAAGGAGCAGCUGGGUAUAUAAGCGAACACACACACACACACACACACACACACAAUGUAAAUGUACCUUUCUAUAACAUGGUUGUGAUGACAAUGCUAUGAUGUCAUUAUGUGCUCUCAGGGUUUGCAUUUUGUUCUUAUCUUUCAAUACAUUGUAAAUGUUUUACACCAUUUUCUCAUCAUAGUUAUAGUUAGCAAAUUAUAACAUUUAUAGGGGCCAUUUAAUGUUGAGCUAGAUUAGGCAAGCUUCAAUUUUGGAUUCUGUUCAGUCUAUCGCUUCAUCUAUUCAGUCUGUAUCGGUGAAACAUUACAGAUUGUGUGAUAGAAAUGUAAAGGUAAUUGAGCUGACAUAAUGUAGAGUUUACCAAGAAUGCAGUCUCCACUAACGUGGUAACAUUGCCUUUACAUGUCAAUCCCGAUGUAACUCUGCACUUCUGCAAUAAAGAUUGAAUAGAGCCCUGAGGCUAAUAUUCGAUCCAAUUAUACUAGUUAUAAUUUAGCUUGAAUUAAUAAGCACUGUAUUGCUGAAUGUCAUACUGUAGUUAUUCACUCACACUCAAACAUGCUGAGGUAUAGCCCUAGACUUUUGUGUAAAUAUGCUCCCCCAAACUAACUUGGGAGCUCUAUAAUUCAUAAGAAUCCUAACAAUUUGUAAAUAUUUAAACGCUUUUGAAUCCCAACAUUUCAUAUAUCACGAUAUACCCAUGUAUAAAUUGACCAAUGACCUAGCGGGGUAAUGAAAAUAUAGUCAGACUUCAGUGGGUGUUUCUAUAUGUUGUUGUCACGGGAACACCCAUCCAUAGAUCACCUCACUUUUUGUGGUGUUCUCUGGCUCUGGGUCCUCGUCAGACGCUAAGCAUCCCAGCUCUCUUCCUCUGCAGAGUGUUGCAUUACCCAACAAGGCUUUGCUGCAUGUUUGUUAAGUCGGAGAUAUGAGAACGCUUCUUGACUUUAAUGCUGCCGGACAUCAUGUCCCUUCCCUGCUGAUUCACAGCGGCUCCCCUAACCCGAUGGCUCGUUUGUGUUUGUCUCUGCAGACUCCCAGGAAUUUUCCAUCCUUCCUCGGCCUCCAGGAAUAUAUAUGCUAAUUAAAGCUGACUUCCUAUAUCCUGAGUACAGCAGAGACAGUAUGGUUGACUAGGGACUGUGACUUUAUAAAAGCACCCAGAGGAAACCCAUAAAGACUACAUGGAGGCUGGGGGGAAUAUUGUGUAUAGGUGGGACUUGAGAGGUGACAGUAACAGACAUCAUAUUUAUAACUUCAACAAAUGAUACCAUAUCUUAUUCAAGGUUACUUGUAGUUAACUUGAUUUGGAAUGUGCUGUGACCCAUGACACUCAAAGGACCUAGAAAGUGAAACCACGCUAUGUCCAUCCUCCUGGAGCCCUGUAUGUCUUUGUUUUGAAAUGGAUUUCUGACAGCGAUUCACAUACUCGUUGCAAUGAAUGGAUGGAUAUUCAUCGACUUCCUUGACUCUGAAGACUUGGAUUCUACAUUUCUGUGCAUCCAGUUGCAGUGUUGUACAUUCUGAUACCUCCCUGUAGGUGUCAGGGUUACUGCUAUGAAAUACUGAUUGACAGAAAGGCUGUUGGCUAAAUACAGGAGCUGUAUUAGUUCAAUUAAUUCACAAUGUUAAUUCACAAAAGCGUCCUAUAACAAUUACUUCAUACAAAAUACUGCACAGAGUCAUGUCACUGCAAUUGUUUUAAAUUACAUUUCUAGAGGGGAGGGGAACACCUUACUAUCUUGACUUUCCAUAAAUGUAUGACCUACUUUGAAAAGAUAUCUAAAAAAAAAACAGGAAAUCUAACAUGUGGGGGUUUUCUUUUAAUUUCAGUAUGUGUAUAAGCAUGAUUGAAGUGUACAGGUAUAAACACUAGGGGGGGUUAUUGACACCAUUUAUAUUUUUAACAUGAUAUUUGAGGCUCAUUAAUAUUUUGUUCCCAUGCUAGAUUAACCAAAACAUGCGCACACACGCAUUGUGAAACGUGGCUCGCAUUACAGGAGCCAAGGAUUCAAUACGUGUACUGUAUAAGGAUAAUGGAUGUGUACACGUCAGUAAAUUAGACCAGCUCUGUUGUUCAUUUGCUCCUCACUACCAGUAGUCCCAACAUCCAAGCCGCGUGUGCAUGCUCAUUGCAAAGACGUCUUAAUAUGGAAAACACUUAGACGCAGCUGGUGCGAGACCACAUGACAGUUCGAACCAGGAUCAUUUUCUUGUCUUUUCGAAUUUCUAUUGUGAUAUUUUGAUUUAGUAUGAGCUUACUGAGCUUGCUUGCAUGUAUUGGGUUUACUUCUGUCCCGACAUAUUGUUAGUCGACAACUCUGCAAGCUGCGUUCCCGUAAGGAAUAAAUCAUGUAAUAAUCAUGACAUUAUGGAAUAUUGAUUGGAGGAUUCAUUACUUGGUACAUGGAGAAAUAUGUAGAACUAAUGUGGAAUAUUUUUUUGUCAACCUUUUAUUGAUCAUGUACAUAUUUCCAAUGUUUUAGCAAUUGUCAGUGCAGAAACAUCGCUGCCAAAGUCUUGAUGUAUUUUUUUUUUUACACACUCUUGCAAGUGAACAGAAAAGCUUAGAAGUAAACAUGUUUUUACCUACAUAAUAAAAUCUAUGUUGUCUGUUAACCUCAUGUUUUACCAUCCUGUUUAAUUCAAUUAAAGUGAUAAGAAUGUGAAAAUGA
Molecule: long non-coding RNA, 6288 nt
Organism: Oncorhynchus kisutch (coho salmon)
Lineage: Eukaryota; Metazoa; Chordata; Actinopteri; Salmoniformes; Salmonidae
Exons: 2
Source: RefSeq, a predicted model, not a curated record